UACGAAGGGGGCUAGCGUUGCUCGGAAUCACUGGGCGUAAAGGGCGCGUAGGCGGCGUGGUAAGUCACUUGUGAAAUCUCUGAGCUUAACUCAGAACGGUCAAGUGAUACUGCUGUGCUAGAGUGCAGAAGGGGCAAUCGGAAUUCUUGGUGUAGCGGUGAAAUGCGUAGAUAUCAAGAGGAACACCUGAGGUGAAGACGGGUUGCUGGGCUGACACUGACGCUGAGGCGCGAAAGCCAGGGGAGCAAACGGG
Molecule: ribosomal RNA, 253 nt
Filed under: uncultured bacterium
Lineage: Bacteria
Description: partial 16S ribosomal RNA
Rfam family: Bacterial small subunit ribosomal RNA
Source: RNAcentral